This 332-nucleotide unclassified non-coding RNA is filed under the name Hevea brasiliensis (rubber tree). Lineage: Eukaryota; Viridiplantae; Streptophyta; Magnoliopsida; Malpighiales; Euphorbiaceae. The record is from RNAcentral.
CAAAUCCAGCUCCUUCAAUCUCUGAAUUCCUCUUCUCUUAUCUGUUUUAGCCGAAGGAAGGAGGUGGUUAGGCUCACGAAGCAGUGGAUCUCUCCUUCGUGAUCGACAAUGACACAGCUUGCCUACUAAAUGUGAAUCAGCCGAUGGGUUUCUUCUUGCAUCGCGAUGCAGCACGGGUAGCAACCUCUCCUUGCACAAUCAACCAUGAAAGCUUGCUUUGCGGUGGAGUGGAACGCUGUUGUAUGGUCUAACAUCAACGCAAUAGCCUUUGGGGUGAUUUUCAAAAAAGGAAAAAAAAAAUGAAAAGGAAAAAGCCUCGGGUGAUGCAGCCA